This 420-nucleotide ribosomal RNA is filed under the name bacterium 14S425. RNAcentral describes it as "bacterial SSU rRNA". It matches the Rfam family "Bacterial small subunit ribosomal RNA", at positions 1044 to 1467 of the family's 1533-position model. The record is from RNAcentral.
UAAGGCGUGUUCACUCGUGUCGUGAGAUGUUGGGUUAAGUCCCGCAACGAGCGCAACCCUUUUCCUUAUUUGCCAGCGGGUUAAGCCGGGAACUUUAAGGAUACUGCCAGUGACAAACUGGAGGAAGGCGGGGACGACGUCAAGUCAUCAUGGCCCUUACGACCAGGGCUACACACGUGCUACAAUGGUCGGUACAAAGGGUUGCUACCUAGCGAUAGGAUGCUAAUCUCAAAAAGCCGAUCGUAGUCCGGAUUGGAGUCUGCAACUCGACUCCAUGAAGUCGGAAUCGCUAGUAAUCGCGGAUCAGAAUGCCGCGGUGAAUACGUUCCCGGGCCUUGUACACACCGCCCGUCACACCAUGGGAAUUUGUUGCACCAGAAGUAGGUAGUCUAACCGCAAGGAGGACGCUACCACGUACCA